CCCUCCUCUUCUUUCCUUCCCUCUCCAAUAGCGUAUAUUAAAGUUGUUGCAGUUAAAAAGCUCGUAGUUGGACCUUAGGCAAGGCGGCCUGGUCACCCUCUGGGUGUACUGGGAUCGCUGCGCCUCACCUUCGGGGAGCUAGUCGUGCUUCGGUGCGCUAGGGAACCGAGCCUUACCUUGAGGAAAUUAGAGUGUUUAAAGCAGGCUUAUGCUUGAAUACGUUUGCAUGGAAUAACAUGAUAGGACUUUGGUUCUAUUUUGUUGGUUUGAGGACCAAAGUAAUGAUUAAUAGGGACAGUUGGGGGCAUUAGUAUUCAAUAGUCAGAGGUGAAAUUCUUGGAUUUAUUGAA
Molecule: ribosomal RNA, 350 nt
Filed under: uncultured eukaryote
Lineage: Eukaryota
Description: SSU rRNA
Rfam family: Eukaryotic small subunit ribosomal RNA
Source: RNAcentral